Molecule: ribosomal RNA, 590 nt
Filed under: uncultured Wolbachia sp.
Lineage: Bacteria; Pseudomonadati; Pseudomonadota; Alphaproteobacteria; Rickettsiales; Anaplasmataceae
Description: bacterial SSU rRNA
Rfam family: Bacterial small subunit ribosomal RNA
Source: RNAcentral
AGUGGCAGACGGGUGAGUAAUGUAUAGGAAUCUACCUAGUAGUACGGAAUAAUUGUUGGAAACGGCAACUAAUACCGUAUACGCCCUACGGGGGAAAAAUUUAUUGCUAUUAGAUGAGCCUAUAUUAGAUUAGUUAGUUGGUGAGGUAAAGGCUUACCAAGACAAUGAUCUAUAGCUGAUCUGAGAGGAUGAUCAGCCACACUGGAACUGAGAUACGGUCCAGACUCCUACGGGAGGCAGCAGUGGGGAAUAUUGGACAAUGGGCGAAAGCCUGAUCCAGCUAUGCCGCAUGAGUGAAGAAGGCCUUCGGGUUGUAAAGCUCUUUUAGUGAGGAAGAUAAUGACGGUACUCACAGAAGAAGUCCUGGCUAACUCCGUGCCAGCAGCCGCGGUAAUACGGAGAGGGCUAGCGUUAUUCGGAAUUAUUGGGCGUAAAGGGCGCGUANGCGGAUUAGUAAGUUAAGAGUGAAAUCCCAAGGCUCAACCUUGGAAUUGCUUUUAAAACUGCUAAUCUAGAGAUUGAAAGAGGAUAGAGGAAUUCCUAGUGUAGAGGUGAAAUUCGUAAAUAUUANNAGGAACACCAGUGGCGAA